UGGCUCAGACGGUAAAGUGUCUGCCUGUAAUGCGGGAGACCCAGGUUCGAUCCCUGG
RNAcentral lists this transfer RNA (57 nucleotides) under Bos taurus (domestic cattle). It matches the Rfam family "tRNA", at positions 8 to 63 of the family's 71-position model. From Rfam's summary of the family: Transfer RNA (tRNA) molecules are approximately 80 nucleotides in length. Their secondary structure includes four short double-helical elements and three loops (D, anti-codon, and T loops). The record is from Rfam by way of RNAcentral. Lineage: Eukaryota; Metazoa; Chordata; Mammalia; Artiodactyla; Bovidae. RNAcentral also lists the same sequence under 1 other name.